RNAcentral lists this ribosomal RNA (494 nucleotides) under uncultured bacterium. RNAcentral's name for it is "partial 16S ribosomal RNA". It matches the Rfam family "Bacterial small subunit ribosomal RNA", at positions 28 to 507 of the family's 1533-position model. The record is from RNAcentral.
GACGAACGCUGGCGGCGUGCUUAACACAUGCAAGUCGAACGGUGAAGCGCCUUCCUUUUUGGUGGGUGUGGAUGAGUGGCGAACGGGUGAGUAACACGUGAGUAACCUGCCCCCUUCUUCUGGAUAACCGCAUGAAAGUGUGGCUAAUACGGGAUAUUCUGGGUCUGUCGCAUGAUGGGUCUGGGAAAGAUAUUGUUUCGGUGGGGGAUGGGCUCGCGGCCUAUCAGCUUGUUGGUGGGGUGAUGGCCUACCAAGGCGGUGACGGGUAGCCGGCCUGAGAGGGUGGACGGUCACACUGGGACUGAGACACGGCCCAGACUCCUACGGGAGGCAGAAGUGGGGAAUAUUGCACAAUGGGCGCAAGCCUGAUGCAGAGACGCCGCGUGAGGGAUGGAGGCCUUCGGGUUGUGAACCUCUUUCGCCAGUGAAGCAGGCCUGCCUCGUUUGUGGGUGGGUUGACGGUAGCUGGAUAAGAAGCGCCGGCUAACUACGUG